CAGAGUCUUAGGAAAAAUGAAAUCAUUCUUUUAAUUGGCAAAAUAACAAAAGAAUAUAAGCAAGUCAUAUUGAAAAAAGUCAAAAUGAAUAGAACAUUUCUGAAUUGACAUCAUUACCAUUUAAUUAAUAAUAAUCGAAUCCUCAGUAAAAUUAACUUUGAACUUAGAUAGAACAAGAGUGCACACACUGAAAUGUCUCGCCUUCUAUACUAAUCAUUGAUAUCAUGUUGAUAAUCCUAAGUAUAAAGCUUAGCUUUAUUACAACUGUCACAUAAACUUAACAUUAACCAAGAUAACUAAACAAAGACCAAUGAACCUUGAAAAUGAGGUCAAGGUCAGAUGAACCAUGCCAGGCAGACAUGUACAGCUAACAAUGCGUCUAUACAACAUAUAAAGUUGACCCAUUACUUAAAGUUUAAGAAAAAUAGACCACAACACAAAAACUUAAAACUGUGCAAUGAACCAUGAAAAUGAGGUCACGGUCAAAUAAAACCUGCACGACUGACAUAAAGAUCAUAAAAUAUUUCCAUACACCAAAUAUAGUUGACCUAUGGCAUAUAGUAUUAGAUAAAAAGACCAAAACUCAAAAACUUAACUUUGACCACUGAACCAUGAAAAUGAGGUCAAGGUCACAUGACAUCUGCCCGCUAGACAUGUACACCUUACAAUCAUUCCAUACAACAAAUAUAGUAGACCUAUUGCAUUUAGUAUGAGAAAAACAGACCAUAACACAAAAAUUUAACUAUAACCACUGAACCAUGAAAAUGAGGUCAAGGUCAGAUGACACCUGCCAGUUGGACAUGUACACCUUACAGUCCUUCCAUACACCGAAUAUACUAGCCCUAUUGCUUAUAGUAUCUGAGAUAUGGACUUGACCACCAAAACUUAACCUUGUUCACUGAUCCAUGAAAUGAGGUCGAGGUCAAGUGAAAACUGUCUGACAGACAUGAGGACCUUGAAAGGUAUGCACAUAUCAAAUAUUGUUAUCCU
RNAcentral lists this long non-coding RNA (990 nucleotides) under Mytilus galloprovincialis (Mediterranean mussel). Lineage: Eukaryota; Metazoa; Mollusca; Bivalvia; Mytilida; Mytilidae. The record is from RNAcentral.